RNAcentral lists this ribosomal RNA (497 nucleotides) under uncultured bacterium. RNAcentral's name for it is "partial 16S ribosomal RNA". It matches the Rfam family "Bacterial small subunit ribosomal RNA", at positions 28 to 507 of the family's 1533-position model. The record is from RNAcentral.
GAUGAACGCUGGCGGCGUGCCUAAUACAUGCAAGUCGAGCGAACGGACGAGAAGCUUGCUUCUCUGAUGUUAGCGGCGGACGGGUGAGUAACACGUGGAUAACCUACCUAUAAGACUGGGAUAACUUCGGGAAACCGGAUCUAAUACCGGAUAAUAUUUUUAACCGCAUGGCUCAAAAGUUAAAGACGGUCUUUCUGUCACUUAUAGAUGGAUCCGCGCUGCAUUAGCUAGUUGGUAAGGUAACGGCUUACCAAGGCAACGAUGCAUAGCCGACCUGAGAGGGUGAUCGGCCACACUGUAACCGAGACACGGUCCAGACUCCUACGGGAAGGAGCAGUAGGGAAUCUUCCGCCAUUGGCGCAAACCUGACGGAGCAACGACGCGUGAGUGAUGAAGGUCUUAGGAUCGUAAAACUCUGUUAUUAGGGAAGAACAUAUGUGUAAGUAACUGUGCACAUCUUGACGGUACCUACUCAGAAAGCCACGGCUAACUACGUG